Molecule: ribosomal RNA, 2350 nt
Filed under: Escherichia coli 96.0932
Lineage: Bacteria; Pseudomonadati; Pseudomonadota; Gammaproteobacteria; Enterobacterales; Enterobacteriaceae
Also listed under: 1 other name
Description: bacterial LSU rRNA
Rfam family: Bacterial large subunit ribosomal RNA
Source: RNAcentral
GUGACUGCGUACCUUUUGUAUAAUGGGUCAGCGACUUAUAUUCUGUAGCAAGGUUAACCGAAUAGGGGAGCCGAAGGGAAACCGAGUCUUAACUGGGCGUUAAGUUGCAGGGUAUAGACCCGAAACCCGGUGAUCUAGCCAUGGGCAGGUUGAAGGUUGGGUAACACUAACUGGAGGACCGAACCGACUAAUGUUGAAAAAUUAGCGGAUGACUUGUGGCUGGGGGUGAAAGGCCAAUCAAACCGGGAGAUAGCUGGUUCUCCCCGAAAGCUAUUUAGGUAGCGCCUCGUGAAUUCAUCUCCGGGGGUAGAGCACUGUUUCGGCAAGGGGGUCAUCCCGACUUACCAACCCGAUGCAAACUGCGAAUACCGGAGAAUGUUAUCACGGGAGACACACGGCGGGUGCUAACGUCCGUCGUGAAGAGGGAAACAACCCAGACCGCCAGCUAAGGUCCCAAAGUCAUGGUUAAGUGGGAAACGAUGUGGGAAGGCCCAGACAGCCAGGAUGUUGGCUUAGAAGCAGCCAUCAUUUAAAGAAAGCGUAAUAGCUCACUGGUCGAGUCGGCCUGCGCGGAAGAUGUAACGGGGCUAAACCAUGCACCGAAGCUGCGGCAGCGACACUGUGUGUUGUUGGGUAGGGGAGCGUUCUGUAAGCCUGUGAAGGUGUGCUGUGAGGCAUGCUGGAGGUAUCAGAAGUGCGAAUGCUGACAUAAGUAACGAUAAAGCGGGUGAAAAGCCCGCUCGCCGGAAGACCAAGGGUUCCUGUCCAACGUUAAUCGGGGCAGGGUGAGUCGACCCCUAAGGCGAGGCCGAAAGGCGUAGUCGAUGGGAAACAGGUUAAUAUUCCUGUACUUGGUGUUACUGCGAAGGGGGGACGGAGAAGGCUAUGUUGGCCGGGCGACGGUUGUCCCGGUUUAAGCGUGUAGGCUGGUUUUCCAGGCAAAUCCGGAAAAUCAAGGCUGAGGCGUGAUGACGAGGCACUACGGUGCUGAAGCAACAAAUGCCCUGCUUCCAGGAAAAGCCUCUAAGCAUCAGGUAACAUCAAAUCGUACCCCAAACCGACACAGGUGGUCAGGUAGAGAAUACCAAGGCGCUUGAGAGAACUCGGGUGAAGGAACUAGGCAAAAUGGUGCCGUAACUUCGGGAGAAGGCACGCUGAUAUGUAGGUGAAGUCCCUCGCGGAUGGAGCUGAAAUCAGUCGAAGAUACCAGCUGGCUGCAACUGUUUAUUAAAAACACAGCACUGUGCAAACACGAAAGUGGACGUAUACGGUGUGACGCCUGCCCGGUGCCGGAAGGUUAAUUGAUGGGGUCAGCGCAAGCGAAGCUCUUGAUCGAAGCCCCGGUAAACGGCGGCCGUAACUAUAACGGUCCUAAGGUAGCGAAAUUCCUUGUCGGGUAAGUUCCGACCUGCACGAAUGGCGUAAUGAUGGCCAGGCUGUCUCCACCCGAGACUCAGUGAAAUUGAACUCGCUGUGAAGAUGCAGUGUACCCGCGGCAAGACGGAAAGACCCCGUGAACCUUUACUAUAGCUUGACACUGAACAUUGAGCCUUGAUGUGUAGGAUAGGUGGGAGGCUUUGAAGUGUGGACGCCAGUCUGCAUGGAGCCGACCUUGAAAUACCACCCUUUAAUGUUUGAUGUUCUAACGUGGACCCGUGAUCCGGGUUGCGGACAGUGUCUGGUGGGUAGUUUGACUGGGGCGGUCUCCUCCUAAAGAGUAACGGAGGAGCACGAAGGUUGGCUAAUCCUGGUCGGACAUCAGGAGGUUAGUGCAAUGGCAUAAGCCAGCUUGACUGCGAGCGUGACGGCGCGAGCAGGUGCGAAAGCAGGUCAUAGUGAUCCGGUGGUUCUGAAUGGAAGGGCCAUCGCUCAACGGAUAAAAGGUACUCCGGGGAUAACAGGCUGAUACCGCCCAAGAGUUCAUAUCGACGGCGGUGUUUGGCACCUCGAUGUCGGCUCAUCACAUCCUGGGGCUGAAGUAGGUCCCAAGGGUAUGGCUGUUCGCCAUUUAAAGUGGUACGCGAGCUGGGUUUAGAACGUCGUGAGACAGUUCGGUCCCUAUCUGCCGUGGGCGCUGGAGAACUGAGGGGGGCUGCUCCUAGUACGAGAGGACCGGAGUGGACGCAUCACUGGUGUUCGGGUUGUCAUGCCAAUGGCACUGCCCGGUAGCUAAAUGCGGAAGAGAUAAGUGCUGAAAGCAUCUAAGCACGAAACUUGCCCCGAGAUGAGUUCUCCCUGACCCUUUAAGGGUCCUGAAGGAACGUUGAAGACGACGACGUUGAUAGGCCGGGUGUGUAAGCGCAGCGAUGCGUUGAGCUAACCGGUACUAAUGAACCGUGAGGCUUAACCU